CGGCGGACGGGUGAGUAACACGUGGCAACCUACCCUUAAGACCGGGAUAACAGCUUGAAAGGGUUGCUAAUACCGGAUAAAGUUAACUUAGCGCAUGCUAAGUUAACCAAAGGGGUUUAACUGCUUAAGGAUGGGCCCGCGUUCCAUUAGCUAGUUGGUGGGGUAACGGCCUACCAAGGCUGCGAUGGAUAGCCGGUCUGAGAGGAUGUACGGCCACACUGGGACUGAUACACGGCCCAGACUCCUACGGGAGGCAGCAGUGGGGAAUCUUGCGCAAUGGGGGGAACCCUGACGCAGCGACGCCGCGUGAGCGAUGAAGGCCUUCGGGUUGUAAAGCUCUGUCAGCGGGGACGAAGGAGAUGACGGUACCUGCAGAGGAAGCCCCGGCUAACUACGUGCCAGCAGCCGCGGUAAGACGUAGGGGGCGAGCGUUGUCCGGAAUUACUGGGCGUA
This 453-nucleotide ribosomal RNA is filed under the name uncultured bacterium. Its description in RNAcentral is "bacterial SSU rRNA". It matches the Rfam family "Bacterial small subunit ribosomal RNA", at positions 96 to 562 of the family's 1533-position model. The record is from RNAcentral.